Molecule: transfer RNA, 61 nt
Filed under: Gastrocopta cristata
Lineage: Eukaryota; Metazoa; Mollusca; Gastropoda; Stylommatophora; Pupillidae
Description: tRNA-Thr
Source: RNAcentral
GCUAAUGUAAUUUAUAUAAAAUCUUGAUUUUGUAAGUCAAUAAAGGAAAUUCCCAUUAGCU